AGUUCCCGAACCAUAACCAUCGGUAUAUCGUCUAUUUAACAAGACAGAUCUAUUACAGCAGUUAUUUGAAAACCCUAGUUUAUCUACUAAACACUUACAGGAAGGCUCCAUGAAUGCUUUUGAGCCUCCGAUGGCGGAUUCCGAAAGCCUGAUGAUUGUUUCUUUAAGAACGGAGAUUUGAGUGUAUGCUCUUUGUAGUAGCCUUCUUACUAGUUGGGCUCCAAAGGCAUCAUGAUAUGGAAUGUAUUUCUUUGGAAGAUGAAAUGAAGGCUUCUUUAGUAUGGAAUUUUGUUUUGCAUGUUGCUUAGGAGUUUGUUCUGAGGAAUGAAGUUCAUUAACAUUAUUAGGGGCAGCUGUUGCUAGCUACAUUGAUGCCUGAUACAACACUAUAUAAGGUAAAAUGUUUGUUCGACUAGUUGUUAUUAUUAUUAUUAUUAUUAUAUCAAAUGUUAUUAUGUUAACAUUUGAUAAAUGUUUGGUAAAAUACUUAAUCAACCAAGUUGGACCCUUGUGGCCCUGUAUAAAAAAGUAAAUGUUUGUAAUCUUGUAUUGAACAAUUUGGUCUCUCAAUUUGUAUUUAUUGGUAGGCCAUAUUAUAAAGCUGCCCAUAUUAAUUUACAA
Ipomoea triloba (trilobed morning glory) is the source of this 621-nucleotide long non-coding RNA. RefSeq lists it as uncharacterized. The transcript is spliced from 2 exons. Lineage: Eukaryota; Viridiplantae; Streptophyta; Magnoliopsida; Solanales; Convolvulaceae. The record is from RefSeq and is a predicted model, not a curated record.